Long non-coding RNA from Crotalus tigris (Tiger rattlesnake), 7320 nucleotides. RefSeq lists it as uncharacterized. Lineage: Eukaryota; Metazoa; Chordata; Lepidosauria; Squamata; Viperidae. The record is from RefSeq and is a predicted model, not a curated record. The transcript has 3 exons.
CUUGAGUGCUUAUUUGAUUAUUUGUUUUGAACAGAAUUUAAAACUGGAAAGCAAGUGGGACUAUUUUCAAAAUCAAUUCAACUGCUUUUGCCUCUUUGUUUUGCUUUUUAAGAGUAAAAACAUUCCUCUCGCUUUUAGUCAUCUGUUCCGUCUGGCAGUCUGACGCCUGUUAGAUGGUAACUAAGAUAAUGGAAGUUAUAACAGGAAAAAAAAAAUAACAGACUAACAGAGUUGGAAGGGACCUUGGUGGUCUUCUAGUGCAACCCUCUGUUUGUUCAGGAGAUCCUAUAGAUGGACCAAAUUUUUCGGAAACUAAGUUUCUUCUGAUGGCAAUUCUCAUUUAAAAAGUCUCAAUAUUUUUAUUGGUUCCAUCAGUUCAAAAACCUUCCUCGUGCUUAAAGUUGAAAUACUUUCCGGUUGCGCAGAAUAUUUUCCUAUAUACUGGGACUUGGAAUACCAGAAAUUGAAAUCUAAAGCAUCUAAAGAACAUCAUUUGGGAAGAGCUUGCCUAAAAAUUUCUUUAUAUGGAUUUUGCACCAAUUUGAAAGCAGUUACAGAUACCUGUGAUUGCAUAAUGUCAGCAGUGAUGUACAACUGAACUGUCUUAUUUCUGGCUCAGAUUCAGUGUAUUUGAAACUAUGUCCAGCUUAGUAUAGGACUGGUGUUGUGUACAUUUGGGGGAACCUGGUUUUUGAAGUGUGGAAAUUAUUAACUGAAAGAGAUGUGGAAGACAAUGAUUGAAGGAGUUGAUAAGUGAAAUGAUGGAGUAUGAAGUUCAAUGCAGUAGAAUGGUCUUUGAGGAGGGAAAAUAGAAAAGAUAAAGGAUAUUUAACUGCCUACAAAUUAACAAGAAUUAGUGAAAUAACAAGAUACUGUUUGCUGAUAAUGGCUCUUGUGCCAGAUUGUUUUUCAGGUGGAAUGACAAUAUAUUAGGUUGAAAGCAAACUAGGUUGUUGUGGGGACAGAUUUUCCAUUGCUGUGGAACUAGUAUGGCACUAGCUGCCAUUAUACAUAGGGUCGUAAAGAUGGUUACUUUACAAUAAUUGUAGAUACUAUGGCUUUGACAGAAGAAGCAGUAGUGGUUGCAUGAACAAAAUGUCUGAAGUACUUUUUAAGUCUAGAAUAGGAAGAUAACAUUUGAAAAUAACUCAGGCAGUCAUUGCCAUGAAUCACUGCACUUUAAGAAGGGGAGGUGUGAAGCACAAUCGGACUUGCAAGAUUCUGUUAAUGUAGCAACUCCCAAUAAAAGUAGAUUUAGCCUUCUUGUGGAAUUGAUUUCCUGGUCUAGUGUAUCUAAUGCAGCUGAUGAUAAUAGUCCAAAGGAUAUUUGGAUAUUCUAGAACAGGAAUGUCAUGACUUUUUCCCCAUUGCCGGAGCUGGUGUGGUUUGGCAUGAUGCAUCCAGCCCAUGGGCUGGCAGUUUGCUACCCCUGUUCUAGAAGAAGUUCUAUAUAAGAAAACAGAAAAGAGAAGAAACAAGAAUAUACAGAGCUGAACUGGAGGAGAGCAGCAGGUGGGAGAUACCAAAGACAAGUGUGCAACAAUUGUGAUGGGAGGAUGGAGUCUGAAAAAGGAUAUAAGGGGAAUUAGUGAUUUCCCCCUCCCCCCCAAUGGCAUGUGAGAUGGAUGAGAGAAAAAAGACCUACCCAGAGGUGAGAGUUUAAGAGAUGGGCUGUUUAUCCAAAGGUGAGCAUGUGGUUCAUUAAUAUGGAAAGCUGGGCACUGGAUUGAUGGCUCUGUCUUGAGGGUCUUGUUGAUGAAAUGUGUUGGAGUGGGUGAGGAGGAACAGCGCUCCAGAUUAUUUGAAGAUCUUUUGUGAUAAAAGGAACAUUUUUAAUAAAUAUCAAAUUUAUUUAAGCCUUGCAGAAUGUCCUUGUGUUCCCCUAAACUGAGCGCGAUAACAAGGUUAUAAACAAGAAACAUAUGGGAGCGUAUCAAAUAAUUAUAAAAAUAAAAACUAGAUGUUUUGACUAACAAAUAGAGGUAAAUUUCUGCCAACCUUAUUGGGAAUACAAUGCAUAUAUUAUCCUGCAUAUUUACUAUUGUGUUCUUGGAGAAUAGCAGCUGAAGUUCAAGUAAAUCAAGAAAGCAACAUACAAAAUUUAUUAUCUUGAGACUUCAUCUUGUGUGAAUUAUUAUCAGCUUGGGUUAGUUUGGACCAUCUGUUGAUGUAAUAUAUAGAUGAGUUUCUUGAAUAUAUUUAGCUGUUUUGCAAUAUUUAUAUAUCUUUUAAAUUGUAGGACAUAAGAACGCUUAUUCUUAACAUGUUGGAACUAAUAUAGAAAUAUAUAUAAUAAACUUAGUGGUUUAUACGGUAUGACAUUUUUAUUCUAUUUUUAAUUGGUUAAGUUAACAAAUUUUGCUGACAUUCAGUGAAAUUACCUCAAACCUGUCCAAUUUUAUCAUAUUACAUGAUGACUUGUCCACUUUGCAUGAUUCACUUCCUUCUUUAGUGGAAGUAAUCUCCAUGGGUUAUUAAAAUACAGUUUAGUCAUACUCUUUAUUAUAAAUACAAUUUAUAAAUAAUACAUUCUUUGUAUGUAUUUGUACAUUUAUUUAUCAUUAUAAUGCUGUUCUUUCAAAGAAGUUAAUGAAACAUUCUCCUCUUCCUUUCCUUGCAUUUUUUUUCUGUUUUGUGAAAGAAUUCCAAAUGUUGUUUAUAAGCCUUCUGUAAGGUAAAAUUUCACAGGAUAUAUAAAUGACUCUUUCUAUAGCCUUGGACUUGAUUGUCUUUGUCCUUUCCUUUGCCUCUGUCAACUUCAAAUCAUAUUGGCCUACCUCAAAUGGUCUUGUGAAAAAUGAAUAAUAGGAAUAAGAAGUGCUUCAUUUAUCAAGAAUGUCAUAGAAAUAAUAAAUAAUAGUUUUUAUUAGUAUUAGUAAGUUUAUUUGAUAACACAUGCUAAAGAUAUUAAGAACUUGCUUGUAAAUUUUAUUUAUCUUAUUUGCCUCCCCUCCCUCAAAGUCAUAUAAGAUGCAUCUGAAGAGAUCAAAACCAUGGAAGCAAUAUGAGAGUUUUUCUUAAAAAUAAUACAGAAAUGGAAAAUUCAGCAGAUGGGAUAUUGGCUCUUAAAAGUACAGGGCAUGUGGUAAAAAUAUGGUAGUUGUCAUCCUGGCAUUUCUUGCUUGUUCCUUCUAUGAACAGAUCACAUUAGAAAGCUCUGUGCUUCCUGAAUAGAAUAAUAUAUAGAUCAACAGUUUAAUCAUGUAUGUACUGCAUGUGUAAAUAGAACAGGUAGAAUAGAGCCUUGAAAACCUUGUUUCUAUCCUAUAAUUUCCUCUAAUUUUAUUACUGUUACAGCUCUUCCAUCAGCAAGAGAGAUGGAAAUGAAAAUACACAGUUUUAAAUUGUCAAUAUUUUUCGCAAAUAACUAUUAACAGUACACUAUGAUUUUGGUACCUUAGCAAGGCAAAAUAUAUCAUCUCUUGAGUGUCAGCUAACCUGCAAUGUUAUAACUUCCAGAUUUUUGGUGUGUGUGUGUUUGUGUGUGUGUUCCCUUGUAGUACAAUAUACAUACAACUGUAACACAUCUAUGCAAUUCAGCAUUUCUUUCUUAUUUUUAAAGAAACCAAUGAAAGAGCUAUUUUCAAAGACUCGUUGGCCGUUGCCUUUCUGAAAUUUGAUGGCUAAAAGAGAAUUUCUUCUAAGAGACCGGUCGACUUAUCUUAUUGGUCUGCUUGGCUGAAAACAUGCAUUAUGUAAGGCUGUAAUACUUAAUUUAAUCUUUAAAAACUUAGUCUUACCUUUUAGUAUGUAUGUGUGUAGAAAUUAAUUUACCUUGAUCCUAUACUGUAUUUGGGGAAUGGUAAAUGAUAGGGUAAUUCACCGUACUUUGGAUCCAGAUUUCUAGUUGCACAGCUCAUUUUAUUGUAGAUGUUUCUGUUCCCUGAAAAUUUAUAAUUGUCUCAAUGGUUACUGUAGAGCAGACAUGUCAAACUCGUGACGUUACAUGACGUUGCAUGAUGUAUCGGAGUGCGGUUUCCUGGUGAUGCAUCCGGCCUAUGGGCUGGCAGUUUGAUACCCCUGUUGUAGAGGAUCCUCCAACUUGAUUUGAAAUGGGAUACAUGGUUUACUCUUCUAAGAGGAAGCAAUCAUGCUUACAUGGGAAGUAAUAUUCCUCCCCCACAGAAAUAUAAUGUCUUUUAGUUCAUUUAGAGAGGUUAUUUCUUUCCUCUCCCCAACUAAUUUUCAAAUCCAAUUUCCCAUCUAGCUAUGAUAUGACGGUGUAACCCAGCAGUGGCUUUGUUCAGGGCAUAUUACCUUAGUAAAAUAAUGAAAGGGAAAUUAAUUAAGUAAAUACCUUCAUUUGAUAAAUACUGUGAGGCAGAACUGAAAUGGUAGAGGAGAACAAUGAAAGCUGAAUGCUGUGGCUUCAGAAAUCUAUUUGUAUGGUAAACGAUGUGGAGAUCUUGUGGUCAAAAUCUAUUUCUGUAAUUUUUAAAGCAGAUUUACUACUUCAUGACAGCAAUUAUAAUUGACUAAACUUUGGGGGAGGGCUGUGAGUUCUGUGACCCCCAAAGUCAGAUUUAAUAUGGUUGAAUAUUUUAUGCUCUUUAAAUCAAAUGUGUCAGCUUAUGAGGCACCUGUGGAAAAGCAAUGCAGAAAUUGCUUGGCAACAGAAAUCUCUGGGGAUAAGAUGAAUUAGUGCUGCUAAGAUCUGCUUCUUGCCUUGUGCAGUGUAUUAUCCAAAACUAAACAACUAAACAUACAUUUCCCUGCUUGCUUAUUUUAUUAUUUUCAUUUUCUGCUUUUCCUCCAGGAGCUCAAGGUGGAAAUGUACACCAUUUCUUCCUUCUAUUUCUUCCCACAACAACAAUCCUGUGAGAUGAGUAAAUUUCAGUUUUGAACUUGUGCCUCAAUAUGAAGCAAAUGUAAGUUACCUCAACUGCCUUUUGUUCAGAUGGUCACAAACAAGGGUAGUUUAUUUCUCUCAAUGCAACUGAAGGUGAAAUAAAGAGCAGAACAAUAUAUUGAAACAUCCUCAGUGAAGGGACAAGUUCAUUCCCCUGAGGUUGUAAAGUUCUGACUCAGUCUUGCUGAAGGAAAUGAGUCAUUUAAGUUUGAGUGCUUCAAAAUGCAUUUACUCUCUUAGUUUAAAAGCCUAAGUAACAAGAUUCCAUUUUGAUUGCAUUUUCUAAAUAAUGAAAUUUAGCUUUAAGAAAAGUUGAAACUUACUGCAAAUUGAUGCUCUGCAGCUGUUUCAGACACUAUGCCUUUUUUUUUUUUUUGGUCAAGGGGGACUCCACUACAGUUGGGCUAUUUCUGAUGACAAUUAUUGCCUUUGGAGGGAAAUGAUUCUUCUCUCUUCUUUUGGUUUAAUGUAAAUUAGAGUAGUAAUAUUAUACCUAUGAGAGUCAAAAUGAGAGCUAAAGACAUGAAUUUAAGCUUUUCCUCAUAACAAUCAUUCUUAUAUAACCAGUGAAAUGUAUACAUGAUCCACUGAUUUCAUAAGACUAAGCAAUUAUUUAAACUCCCUGACACUGAUACGAUUGGCAAAUGAAUGCUAAUUAGUGACCAUAUAUUCAAAGUUAAUAAAUGGAACAAAUUGAACUUUUGAUGGCUACUUUUGAUAAUGAGGUUCUGGAGAAUUAACAUUUUUCUCUAAAUUUUAGUGUCAUGCUAAUGAUAUAACCUGCAUAAAUAAUGUGUAUAAAUUCAGUUAAAUUGCAUAUAUGUUAGUGAUUUAUUUUAUAUAAUUUAAUUUUCUUUUGGUAUAAAGAUUGAGAUAGAUUUGUACUAUAGUACUUUGGAGUUCUGUUAUAAAUUUUGGAGAUUUUGCUGAACUGCUUCCCUAUUUCUUUAAAAUUCUUCAGGCACUUUUCUUACGUUUGAUACUUUCCAGAUAUUUUUUUACUUCAAUUUCCAUUGACUUCGUUUUGCUUCAGUUUAUGAAAGUUGAAAGUCAGCAUAAAUUGGAGGGUCCAGGUGAGAAAGGCUUGGGCAGUGGGCCUAGUUUUGCUUGUGGAAAACUAUCAAAUGAAUAGAUCAAGGGGAUUAGAUUGAACCACAACUUUUCUAAGUUAUGUAAUGUUUUGUCAUGCCAUUUGUUAUUUGUGUCUUCUUAAAAGUUAUUUAUAAUAGUGCAAAGGCACUAUUAUAUGCUUUGCACCUAAUUAAAAUUAUAUUUUAUAAUGAAAAUGGAAAAUUGUUUUUUCACCCAAGUUUUCCCCUCAAGCUUUAGGCAAGGUUUUCAUGAAUGACUAACAGAACAGAUGCUGCAAACAAGCUCAGAACUUCUGUUUGCUGCCCUAUUAAGAGCAAUGACUCAUUUUGGCAUGAUGUCAAAGCUAUGAAAAGCUAAGAAAGGAAAAUUUAAAACCAAAUAUCAUGAUCCAAGAACCCCAGCAACUGCUCUAGCAUGAACAGAAGUUUGGCCAAAACUAAUUUUGACUGGGAAAUUGGUGAUGGAAAAUUCCAGUCAUAUCUUGGUUGCUUAAAGUCUUCUAAGACAUUCUGGUGGGAAGACAUGAAUGAUUGAGAAAACACCCAUAACAAGGAACUACCCAAAUAAUUGCUGAUGGAUAAGAAAAUGCAACACAUAAAAGUGUUUUUGAAAAUCAAAGACAUAGCUCCUUCUACUGCUCUUCACCCAGAGUUAAAAUGGUAAACAGAUAAAUUUGGGGCAAAAAAAUCUGUUUAAAAUUGCAUGAUGUGAAAGACACACCAAUAGAUUUUCUAGCUUCCCCUUCAGGCUGUUUCUAGGAUUUUUAUAUAUAUAUAUAUAUAUAUAUAUAAAGCUUACAUGCAAAAAAAAACUUAGUCACAAAUCAAUGUCAGAAACUUAGUUUAUCACAAAUGAUGAAUGUUAUUUAUAGUUUGGAAAAGGUAUGCAAAGAUUCGGAGAAAUUGUGCACUACCAGAAACCCAAGAUUCCUACUUGAAUUGGCUGCCUCAUUUUGCCUUCCCUUUUCAGGCUUUGUUUUUUUAAUGAUGAACUCUAAUUAUGAAAUGAGAAGUUCAACUGGACCAGAGGUUGGGGAAGUCAAUUCUGAAGAUUCAACACAGGAAUCAAAACAUGAGGUCGAAGAUAGUGGUGAAGACAGAACUGACAACAAUGUGGCCUGGGCAUCUUGUAGCUCAAACUGAAAGAUUGGCAGAAAAGAUUUUAUAAAAGCAGAUGUGUUCCUUUCACUGGAUUUGCACACACAGUUUAUUUAAUCAUUCUUUACUGAAUACAUCACAGUGGCUGGUACAUUCAGUACCCUAAAUGAAAAUCAGAUCAAUCACAUUAGGGCAGUGGUGGUGACCCUAUAGCACACGUGCCAGAGGCGGCACUCAGAGCCCUCUCUGAGGGCACGCAUGCCAUCACCCCAGCCCCACCUC